CAAAGCCAAGCUGGGCUUCCAGUGCGCGGACUGUGAGAAGAGCUUCCAGCGACACGACUAUCUGGUGAGGCACCGCAGACACUGUCAUCUAAAGGACGAGACUCGUCCCUUCCAGUGUCGGUACUGUGUCAAAACUUUCCGACAGAAUUACGACCUCCUCCGCCAUGAGCGCCUGCACAUGAAGCGGCGCUCUAAGCAGGCUCUGAACUCAUACUGAGCAGGGUGUGGCCCCACAAGCUAGCCCCUGCCCCAGCACAGAACCCUCACCACCUGCCCUUUGCUCUCAGGUAGUGUCCAACUUCUGGUGCCAUGCCUCUUCCUCCCGAGAUAAAAAGCAGUCCCCUGAGCAUUCCUUCCUUCUACUGUGCCAAAACCCAGGGAGGUAAGGCAACUCUAGCCUCAGAUCUACAUCUCAGAUGUCCAGCUACUCAGCCACUUUCUCUGGCCCUCAGAGGGACUGGGCUGUCCCAUCCCAGUGACUUCUAGGGGUAUGGUGUCUACAAUAGGGAGCUGACCAAAAGCACUGACCUAUCCUCAGAAGUCAGCCUGGGGUGACUAGCCAGGGGAGCGUCCCACAGGUGCAGAUGGCCAGGCCACUGACCAUCAGGAGGUCACAUUUUAAAAGUUCAUGCAUCUAUCCCCACAUGUCUUCUUUGUACUCCAAGACCCUUCAGAAACGUGUGAUGGAAGCUGCCUGUCACCAAGCACAUCCCUCCCCACUCUGUCUAGGAGUUGAGAGCCUUCAAGGCGCUUCUGCUAGGUAAGCCAAGCCCUGGAACAGAAGCUUCUAAAGUCUUGUCCUUCAUGGGUAGUGACUCCCAGGCAUUUGCUUUAGUCCUAGCACUGACAUAAGUAACUAGUACUAAACGUAGGCUCUUCUAACAGCACGUGGCAUUGUUACAGUUAUGGAAUUUGCAAGGCCAAGGUCUGGUGUCAGUGGGCUGGUUCUCUCCGAAGCUAGAAGAGUGAAUCCUCUUGGGUCUGAUGGUCACUGACACUUGUGUGUACCCCAGGGCUUGUACAAACAUCUCUCCAUCUUUGCCUUCAUCUCCACUGCGUCGGUCUCCAAACUUACCUUCUGUACAAGGAUCCCAGUCUUUGGGUUGGGGCUCACCCUGUCUACUGUAGCAGAGCCCCACCUUCAUCUGGAGUGGCCAUUUCCAAAUAAAGUCACAUCCUGAGGUACUAGGAGUAAGGACCUCAACACUGGGGUUUGAGUGGACGUAGCCAACUCCAGCUAAUCCCGUGGUGCUGUUGCAUUCCUGCCUUGGGUGAACCAGUGCGACCUUGCGGCAGCGUGCUUGCAUUCCUCUGCGUGUUGAGCUCGGUUGUCUGCUUUCAGACUGCUGUCCUCUCUCUGCCAAGGAGAAUCUUCAUCCAUGGCCUUUAAGUUCAAAGCCUGAGAUUCUGGGAAUGGUUGUUGUUAGGAAACCUAAAGCAACCAAACAUGUGGUCCCGCACACUGGUGUCGGCCAGGCUCAAUGUCGCUGUGGCUGGACCUGACUGCAGGCAGCCUUGAGCUAUAACAGCUCUCACAGUCAGGAGGUCUGGGAAAAUGAAUUCAAGGCCUCUGGUGCUCUCUCUCCUGAUUUUUUCACAUCAAGAAGCCUGUAGUCCAGACCCUCAAAGACUAUAAGACUUUAUAACAGUUUCUUUUUCUGCUCAGUGCAUUGCCCAGAAAUAGUAAAUGCAAUAAAACCAUUUGGUCACAUCUUGGAGAAGAAAUAAACUGUUGAAGCUCUUAGUUUCUAAA
This 1753-nucleotide long non-coding RNA is filed under the name Rattus norvegicus (Norway rat). Its description in RNAcentral is "long non-coding RNA NONRATT005478". The record is from RNAcentral. Lineage: Eukaryota; Metazoa; Chordata; Mammalia; Rodentia; Muridae.